Molecule: long non-coding RNA, 839 nt
Organism: Dicentrarchus labrax (European seabass)
Lineage: Eukaryota; Metazoa; Chordata; Actinopteri; Moronidae
Exons: 4
Source: RefSeq, a predicted model, not a curated record
GCGUAAAAUGCAAGAGGAGGAAUGCUGAUGGGACGGCCGUGUUCGGUUGCUGCAGUCGUUGGUGAUUUACAUUGUUUCCUUACUGAGGGGUUGUACCUGAACCAGUAUGGAAAGUAAGGACAAUAACAGUGAGCAAAAUGUUUUCAGACACACUUACCUCUCUUUUGCCAUUCUUUACUCACUUGUGGACUGCAAAUGUGGGACUACAUGGAUGCUUGAAGCGGCCCCUUGAGGGUGAUUGGCAGCUGUGGCUGUGCGCUGAUGGUGUUGACUGUUGGAGAUGUCACCGGAUACUCGGACUCAGCCGUCAGCAGUGCUGCUGUAAAUAUGAUUGACAGCUCAUGUUGCUGAAGCCCUUCUUCGACAAACUUGCCAAUUAUCGCCCAUAAACUUGUCUCUGUGAUUAUAGUAUGUCAUCAUGACACCAGUGUUAUCACUAUUGGGUGUCAAAAUGUUGCCUUAAUGAUGUGGGGAAUUUUAAGGUGGAACUAAAAUUUGUCACAUGAAACCAACCCAACAUAUUGUGCUCGAGAUGACAACUGGGAGUGGUGCAACCUAAAUUCAACAAUUCAUUAAGACCAAAACGAAGACUUUCUGUAUGAAUCCGAGGGUGGGAGUGACCAAAUCAGUAUCCAAGAGCCACACCCAUUGAUACUUGUGGUAAUACACAAAACAGUAAGUGUUAUGUUAGAGAUGUGUUCUUUGUGGAUGGUAUUUCCGAUGAAGACUUCUGAAAUGUAUUGAUUUAUAUAUUAUAUUUGCAUUUCCACAUUAGUGUAGGAAUAUAAUUGUUUUUAGCCAUUUUAGCAGCUGUAUGGAGGGUACUGUGGGGCAGUUGA